Molecule: long non-coding RNA, 571 nt
Organism: Heterocephalus glaber (naked mole-rat)
Lineage: Eukaryota; Metazoa; Chordata; Mammalia; Rodentia; Bathyergidae
Source: Ensembl
AUCUGCGUUACAAAAAAUCCCCAAUGGAGACCCAUGUAAUGUUACUUCUCAGAUUUCAGUGCUGGAGAAAUAUCUAUUUCCUGAUCCUUGGUUUUCUACCUUACCAACUAUUGAAAAGACUCACAACUAAGAGUUUGCCUUGAAUCUCAGAGGAGACUUUGGACUUGGACUUUUCAGCAAUGCUACAACUGUUUAUAAUUGGAGGAAGUCUUUAUGUCUAGCCCUAUACUAAGAAGAGAUUAUACAAGGCCUUGAAUACCAGCAGAUGAUAUCAUUUGUGUCAUUUGAAGACCGCCUACCACAGAUGUUCUGAAGGAUGUUUAUGAAGAUACAUUUAUUAUAGCUUGCUCAUCCGUCUUUGAUUCAUAAACACACAAAUAUUUAACAUAGAUAUUUCUAAACACAUGCAUAUUCUUCCUGUCUUGGUGGUUUCUGUGGUAGUUAUGAAUAUCUCAAUCCUAUGUCAAGAUACCAAAUUACAGAAUUCAAGGAAUCAUCUACAGCAUUUAUCCACUGCCACUUUUAUUUUGCAGAUACAAAUUUUGAUAUAGGACAAAGGUAAAUGACUUCA